Molecule: long non-coding RNA, 282 nt
Organism: Arabidopsis thaliana (thale cress)
Lineage: Eukaryota; Viridiplantae; Streptophyta; Magnoliopsida; Brassicales; Brassicaceae
Product: other RNA
Exons: 1
Source: RefSeq
AAAAGGUUUCAGUUUGCUGCUCGGCUUGUUCUUGACUCUCAAAUUUCUGUAAAUGUUUUUCUUUACAUUGAAAUUUGCGUGUGAAUGUGUGAUACUUUCCCAGUUGAUAUGGGUGAGCUUUAGAGAAUCUAAUGAAACAAAGCUGUUUUAAGUACUACCUCAUGUUUUCUGGUUUAAUCUGCAGAAGGGGUGCUUACUGGUUGAACAGAUCAAAGUCAACGGAUGUGAUGACCAAACUUUGGUGUUACACCAUUUAGUUUGUUUGGGUUCAGCACUUAACGU